RNAcentral lists this unclassified non-coding RNA (347 nucleotides) under uncultured fungus. Its description in RNAcentral is "sequence contains ITS1". The stretch from base 1 to 105 matches the Rfam family "5.8S ribosomal RNA", at positions 50 to 154 of the family's 154-position model. Lineage: Eukaryota; Fungi. The record is from RNAcentral.
AAACCGCGUUACGUAGUGUGAUGCGCAGAACCUUCGUGAUCCAUCGAAUUUUCGAACGCAUUAGCACUGUGGGCGAAAUCCCUCAGUGGGUAAGAAUCAGCGCAGGAUAAAUUAUCAAACGCCACUGUUUUUCUUCAUUUUGCAUGAAGAAAUCUAGUGAAUGAUGGCCCUGUCUUUUAUAGACACGUGCGUUACAAUCUUUAGCGUGGCCUCCAAACUGCAGCCGCUAGGCCGUAGCACGCUUAAGAUUGCACGGGUUCUUUAAUAAGAAAGUACUCGGCUUAAAUUACAUGGAAAAAACCCUAGAUCUCCCGCCUGAUUUUUGCCAGACUACCCGCUGAAUUUAA